RNAcentral lists this ribosomal RNA (424 nucleotides) under uncultured prokaryote. Its description in RNAcentral is "bacterial SSU rRNA". It matches the Rfam family "Bacterial small subunit ribosomal RNA", at positions 355 to 796 of the family's 1533-position model. The record is from RNAcentral.
UGGGGAAUAUUGGACAAUGGGCGCAAGCCUGAUCCAGCCAUGCCGCGUGAGUGAUGAAGGCCCUAGGGUUGUAAAGCUCUUUCAACGGUGAAGAUAAUGACGGUAACCGUAGAAGAAGCCCCGGCUAACUUCGUGCCAGCAGCCGCGGUAAUACGAAGGGGGCUUGCGUUGUUCGGAAUUACUGGGCGUAAAGCGCGCGUAGGCGGAUAGAUCAGUCAGGGGUGAAAUCCCGGGGCUCAACCCCGGAACUGCCUUUGAUAGUGUCAAUCUAGAGAUCGAGAGAGGUGAGUGGAAUUCCGAGUGUAGAGGUGAAAUUCGUAGAUAUUCGGAGGAACACCAGUGGCGAAGGCGGCUCACUGGACAAGUAUUGACGCUGAGGUGCGAAAGCGUGGGGAGCAAACAGGAUUAGAUACCCCCGUAGUCC